GUGGCCACGGAGUUUGUCUGGUGGUGGAAGGAGGGGGUGGCUGCGCCCGCCAUGCUGGGGCUCGUGUUUUUCUCUUCCGCUUCAGGCUUUGGUGAAAUGGGCUGAGGAAGGGGGAAUUGAACUGAGAGACUCCUUGUCCGUCCCCCAUUUCUUUCUUUUUUUUUUUUUUUUGAGAUGGAGUCUCGCUCUGUCGCCCAGGCUGGAGUGCAGUGGGACAAUUUUAGCUCACUGCAACCUCCGCCUCCCGGGUUCAAGCAAUUCUCCUGCCUCAGCCUCCCGAGUAGCUGGGAUUACAUGCGCCCGCCACCACACCUGGCUAAUUUUUGUAUUUUUAGUAGAGACGGGGUUUCACCACGUUGGCCAGGCCGGUACCGAACUCCCAACCUCAGGCGAUCCACCCGCCUCGGCCUCCCAAAGUGCUGGGAUUACAGGCGUGAGACACAGCGCCUGGCCUGUCCUUUUUAUGUAUUGCCAUAUUUUCUUUUCUUUUCUUUUCUGUGAGAUCCCUGUUGAGUUUUGUUAACAAGGCUAUGCUGAUAUAAUGUGUGGAGAAGUGUUCUCUCUUUUUCUAUUCUUUGAAAGUGCUAGUGUAGGAUUGAUGUUAUUUAUUUUUUAUGUGUUUGGAAGAAGUCACCAGCCAUCUGGACCUAGAGUUUUCUUUGUGGAAAGACUUUAAAUUACAAAUUCUAUUUCUUUUAUAAAAAUACAACUAUUCAGAUGUUCUAUUUUAUUUCUGGGUCUCACUCUGUUACGCAGGCUGGAGUACAGUGGCACAUUCUUGACUGACUGCAACCUCCACCUCCCAGGCUCAAGCGAUCCUCCCACCUUGGAUCUGUCCAGUCCAAUCACAUGAGCCCUUCAAAGCAGAGGACUGUCUCUGCCAGAAGAGGAAGGCAUACCAGAGAUGGGACACAAGGGGAAGUCAGAGUCCCGCCAUGAUACUGGGCUGUGGCUCUGGGAUGUCAGGUCCACCUGCAGUAACUGGAGAGAGGCCUCUUGGAGCUAAGCGUGGAAGCAUGGGUGGCCCCCAGCUGACAGCCAGCAAGAACGUGGGGACCUCAGUCCCACAAGCCCAGGAACUCGAUUCUGCUUAAAAUCUGAAUGAGCUUGAAAGCAGCUUCUUCCCAGAGCCUCCCAAUGAGAGCUCGGGUGGCUGACACCCUGUGAAACCCAGAGCUGAGGGCCAGCGGAGCCAUCCUGGAUUUCUGACCAGGAUGAUAUGUGAAAUAAUGCAUUUGUGUUGUUUUAA
Homo sapiens (human) is the source of this 1249-nucleotide long non-coding RNA. NCBI's taxonomy places the organism in Eukaryota, Metazoa, Chordata, Mammalia, Primates, Hominidae. The record is from Ensembl.